GAAUGGGGAGAUUCAUCGUCAGCGGUACUGGUACGUGUGCGGUUCGCGAUGUCCGAGACUUCGGUCUCGCGGCACGCGUCCGCAUGUUUUUUAUUGCCUGGUAUCGUCGGCGUGCACUUCUCCCCUAGUAGGACGUCGCGACCCGUUGGGUGUCGGUCUACGGCCCGGGUGGUAGUCUGUCUCGUGUGGCGCUUUAUCGCGUCACUGCGGGGCAGACCCCCGGUUGUCUGACCGGCUGCUCGGCGGUACUCGCAAGUUAUCUGGCCGCAAAAAUUCGAACUGCGUCCGGCCCGUCGCAAGCGAGGCGAGUGUUCCCGAAUGUACGGAUCUAAUGCCGUCAUCGGGCCUAGCCAGCUGUUGGUUGACGGUGUCCUAGGACUGGCUAUAAAAAUUAUGAUAACGGUCAGCGACGCUACUGCUUUGGGUACUUUCAGGACCCGUCUUGAAACACGGACCAAGGAGUCUAACAUGUGCGCGAGUCAUUGGGAUUUUUAAGCCUAAAGGCGCAAUGAAAGUGAAGGUCGGCCUUGCGCCGACCGAGGGAGGAUGGGCCGCGUCACGAUGCGGUCCCGCACUCCCGGGGC
Molecule: ribosomal RNA, 584 nt
Filed under: Zabrachypus primus
Lineage: Eukaryota; Metazoa; Arthropoda; Insecta; Hymenoptera; Ichneumonidae
Description: partial large subunit ribosomal RNA
Rfam family: Eukaryotic large subunit ribosomal RNA
Source: RNAcentral